RNAcentral lists this ribosomal RNA (468 nucleotides) under uncultured bacterium. RNAcentral's name for it is "partial 16S ribosomal RNA". It matches the Rfam family "Bacterial small subunit ribosomal RNA", at positions 28 to 507 of the family's 1533-position model. The record is from RNAcentral.
GACGAACGCUGGCGGCGUGCUUAACACAUGCAAGUCGAACGGAAAGGCCCUGCUUUUGUGGGGUGCUCGAGUGGCGAACGGGUGAGUAACACGUGAGUAACCUGCCCUUGACUUUGGGAUAACUUCAGGAAACUGGGGCUAAUACCGGAUAGGAGCUCCUGCUGCAUGGUGGGGGUUGGAAAGUUUCGGCGGUUGGGGAUGGACUCGCGGCUUAUCAGCUUGUUGGUGGGGUAGUGGCUUACCAAGGCUUUGACGGGUAGCCGGCCUGAGAGGGUGACCGGCCACAUUGGGACUGAGAUACGGCCCAGACUCCUACGGGAGGCAGCAGUGGGGAAUAUUGCACGAUGGGCGGAAGCCUGGUGCAGCAACGCCGCGUGCGGGAUGACGGCCUUCGGGUUGUAAACCGCUUUCGCCUGUGACGAAGCGUGAGUGACGGUAAUGGGUAAAGAAGCACCGGCUAACUACGUG